This 75-nucleotide ribosomal RNA is filed under the name Clostridioides difficile. RNAcentral describes it as "partial 16S ribosomal RNA". The stretch from base 1 to 66 matches the Rfam family "Bacterial small subunit ribosomal RNA", at positions 1468 to 1533 of the family's 1533-position model. Lineage: Bacteria; Bacillati; Bacillota; Clostridia; Peptostreptococcales; Peptostreptococcaceae. The record is from RNAcentral.
UUAAUAACUGGGGUGAAGUCGUAACAAGGUAGCCGUAUCGGAAGGUGCGGCUGGAUCACCUCCUUUCUAAGGAGA